AUCUUCAGAAAAGUUUUGUAAGGUCAGUUGAAUUGUUCUUCUUUUGCAAACGAGGAAAUGAUGGUUUUCGAAGGUGGUGGUGUGUAUCUGUCUGUUUCCAAAGCCUCGAAUCUUUCUCUUGUGCCACCUUCCGUUCUGGCCCAGAAGGUUGCUUUGUCUCUUGAGGGAUUCCUACAUCCUUCCAUGACCAUAAACAGGUGGAAUUUCUGGAUAAGUUGGUGAAUUGGCAGCUGAGCCUGUGGGUCCUGUGUAUGCAGUCGUUUCUUAGCUAUGACCUAAAAAUCAAUUGUGGGCAUUUUAUGGGCUCUUUCGCAUAAAGUGUGUGUUCUUGAUUUUAUUUUAUAGCCAGACCGACUCUGAGUCUAGAAGGCAAGAGUGUUAGAAGAUUUAUGAGAAGAAAGGGGGCACCACAGCAAUGUCAAGGUCUCUUAGGAGGAGGAGGAGGAGGCAGGUGCUCACUUAGAGCUGAGAUGAGGUGGCAGUUACUAUUGAAGGUUAAGGCGGGUCCUUACUCUGCGUUUAAGAGAACUGUGUCUUCCACGUAGAGGGUCCUCUUGGGGACUUCAUUAGACACCUGGGAUCCCACUCCCCCCCCCCAUUUACUUCCAACUUGCUAGUUUUUGUGAAGGAAGUUUUUUGGAGAAAGGCUUGGCCUUUCUCAGGGUGCCUCCGGCCCAGGGGAGGCCUUCUUGUGACUUAGAAACAGGCUCUCAGGUGGCGUUCCAUCCCCAUGGGACCCCUCGCGGGGUGCGUCUCUGCAGCAGCCUUUCGAUAGAGUUAUUUGCAGUUUUUAUCCCCUUCUUCAUAAGUGGGCCAGGAUAGCAGGCAGUACAACACGUGGGUCUGUGCGCAAGAAAACAAAUGGAUUUUAGGUGAUUGACGACUGGGGCCAACUCAGGCCUGGUCCCCAGCCCUUUUCAGGCGUCUGUACGCUUUUGACUUCUCUGUAGCAUUUUGCUCCAAGUGCAUAAACCUUUGAUGGGACUCUGGGUCUUCAGCAUAUCCCAGAUUUGUGUUUCCUUUGUUAGUAGCCCAAGUAAAGGAGCGGGUAAUGGCAGAGUUGGAGCAGAAUGCAUGCCCGGGUUGGUCCAACCCACACACCGUUUCUUCCCAAAUAUUAGCUCGUCAGAACGCCUGACUCUCGGCAGGAGACACGCAUUGUAACCCAAGAGGAUGUGAUUUGAGUGGAGUUUUCGUGCCCCGUGUGCUUAUGUAUUCUUGCUCCGGAUGCAAACAUUAUCUAUAAUUACAUUUUCAAGUGACUGAAAAUUGCAGGCUUUGUUGAACAAAAAUACAGCCAAAGAAGGGAAUAUAUAUCCACUCCACCCUCAUUAUAAGGCUUUCAGAAAUCAGACUAUAAGGCCCAGGCCUGGGGCUCUCAGCUACAUGAUAUGCGCGCCGUUCUCUGAUGUUUGAACACUUUGUCAAAAUGCCGGGUUCCCGAUGAUGAUCAUAAAAUUGGAGGAAAAUGUGAUGACUCUCUUAGCGCUUUGCUGGCUCCACUGUCAACUCUGUGACAGAGGCACCGCCUCUCACCGACCCUUUAUUUCCAGGAGGUGAAGCUAGAAACCACGCAAGUUGAGUUAGAUCCAAGCAUGGUGGGCCACGUUGGGACAGCUGCUUGAGAUAAAGACACUGUUGCCUUCCUGGGGCAAAUACAGUUAAAUCCUGUGGCAUUCUGUUGUCUUCAAGCCGUCCCGCCUCCCACCUUGGGCGUAAUUGAAAAAACAAUUGCUCUCCUGGGGCCCACUGCAAGGUACUGGCUAUGGGACAAGAAAAACAUCCUGGCCACUCUCACUCUUCUAGACUUAAGCCCCUAUGUCUAACUUAAGUGAGAGCCUAAACCACUUGGAGUUUUUUUGUUUUUAAGAAAAAAAAGAAAAGAAUCUGACGUGUCACAUAUACCUGACUGUUUUGCUCAUCAUUAAUUAGCAUCCUGAAAUCCAGGGAACCAAGGAAAGAGGAACUGUUCCUUGGUUUUGGAUGGAAAGCGCACAGAGGGAAGAGUGGUGACAUAGUGGUUGUUAGUUUGUUUCUAAGGUAUUAAACUUGUCAUUUGCCUGACGGUUCAGUGUCGCCAGUCACUCUCUAGGCCCUUUGCAGAGCUAAAGAAAGCAGCAUUGUGAUGCAUUCAUUAAUCAACAAUAGGAGCUGAGUAAAUACUUAAGUCAGGCUGCUCAGACCUUUCCUGGUUCUAUCAAGUUCCUCCCUGAAAGGUAAGCCCCUCAGGUUAUCAAAGAAGUGUUUCUCAGGUCAUGAUGAGCACAGUUCAAAUCCCUUUAGUUCUGGUGUGUACCUAGUGAAUCAGAUGUUCCCGUGUGUGUGUGUGUCACCUUUUCUAACAUAAAUCAUAAACUCAGAUGUACGGACAGUUGGGUUUUGGACGGACCGCUAUAGACUGAUAGUAAAGUUAGCAACUGUGUUCAGUAGUUUUAACAUCGAAAGAGCUGAAAUGAGAGCAUGUGAGGGUCUAAGUAAAAUGCCUUCUGUGUAAUGCAACACAGCCACAAGGAUUGUGUGAGCAUGUUUUUUUGUUUUUUUUUUUAACAUUAAGGGAUUGUAGUAGCUAUUAAGCUUUGGUUGCAGUGGAAAUUUGGAGACGUAGCCAGUCUCCGUAAUAUAAUUGCCUGAUUGUAAGGAGUACGUGAAGGCAACUCAAUUUGUGUAUUUCAUGAAUUCCCUCUGCAUUACAGACACUGCCCCUUGUUCAGGCUGCUUUUUUUCUUUUUUAACAGGUGGUGUGUUUAUGUCUGUAGGUACCUGGGCUUCCAAUAGCGUGGACUCCUAAUCAAUCAGCAGAACUUACUUUAAGCAGUGGAAUUAGCCUAGACCCAAAGUAAAUUAGCUUGCCAAGGCAUCUACUUCUCGGGGUUUCUUGGUUGCCUCUCCAAUAGCAGAUUGACUCCACGGUAGGGCAGUAAGUACAGCGUGAGUCUGGAAGCGCAUGACAGUUGCGUAGUUUGUGCUGCAGAUUGAACAGUUAAAAUGAAGGCGGACAGCUGAGGAGCUGAGGAUUUAUGAGUUGCAACUGACCUAUUAUUUGGCCAAAUCGAUCAGCUCUUCUGUGGAAACCACCUAAACAUUUUCUGUACUGAAAUCUGUGUUCCAUUCAUUCUCUCUUUGUUUCUUUUUAACUCCGAAACUCCUGCUGGUGAACAAGAGUUGCAGUUGACCUUCUGCGUCAAGCUAGCACAAAGGUGUGAAGUCUAUAACGUGCUGGAUAGUUCCUGCAUGUUCUAGGUCUGCCGUAAUUUGAGAGUGCUAACCACAGUUCUUGAGCUAAACAUGUGGUUAUUCUGCGCUUUUGUCUAUCCCUUGGGUUCUUUUUGGGGAAACCUGUUUUACAGUGAAGAAGCAUCUGCACUGUUGGUUGGAGGAAGUGUCGUCUCUUAGAGAUGUGAUCGUGGCCAUUCAGAUUGUAAGAUCCAGGUGGCUUGAGAGAUGAGGAGAAACAGCAUUGACCAAAACCUGUUGCGUGGAUGUUCUCUUCUACCUAAAAAGGCUGAGGGGGUGAGAGUGUCCUUCCUGCUCCCUUACGCCCAGUUGGAUCUGGUGUGACCCACAGAGUUAAUUGUGCAAGCAGAGAAAUGUGGAUUCUUAUCCCAUCUAUCCUUUUGCUUCUUCACCUUCCUGUAGACCAACUCUUUACCUAAGAUCUAGAACCUUGAACGAGUAGGCGUGGAGAGGGAAAGUAAGCCAGUGACAUCACGGCCACUUAAGUGGCAUUCCAAAUGGGACCUCCAGUUGGAGCUCGGAAUGCAGUGACGGUCCUGGUUUGCUGGGAUCCUCCCAGUUGGUACCUUGUCAUCCCAAUGCCAUCAGUCUUAGCAUCCACCUUCCACUCUGUAAAAAGUGUCCCCGUUUGGAUGUUACUUGUCCUCCCUCCUUCUCAUGUCUGAUCCUGCAGCACUAGCUUUCCUAAGUAUACACGUGUUGGCGAACUUGCAAAAGUCUACACAUAGGACUAGCCCCAACCUUUCUACAGAAGGGUCAUUAUCCAUGCUUUGAAAUGUUCAGAAAAAGCAAUUUCUAGCAUCCCUGUCUCUGACCGAUUCCUUGCCUUAAAUCCCGAGAAAUAGAAAAGUUACUCAGAAUUGAAGGAAAGCUUCCUCACCGUUCCUAAUGCGUUUCGGGCCCCCUCUGAGCGCCUGGGGAUGGGCUCGCUCAUUAGCUUCUGUUUCUUUCUGAUCCGUGUCUGUCGUCCUGCAAACGCCUGUCUACAGCUUUGUCGGGUCACCUGUCCUCCAGCACGUGGGUUCAGGGUUGGAGGAGCCGGAGACCAGGUUUACAGGGGCUGCCUUUCUGUUCGGUUCCGUUAAAUUCAUGAAAUAACUUUUCUCCAUUCUGGGAAAGCUCAAAUAGUUCUGUUAAGGUUCAGCUGAAGCGUGACGAGAGCCAGAAAAUGAUCCUACGGUGCUGCCUUUGUCCUCACACUGCCUGCUACGAAACGGCGGCGACAGAAGAGCCCAGCCAAGGUGUCAUGACCCCAGGGGGCCCACGUAUAUUUUUGAAUUUUAAUCCCCAGGAUGCCUUUUGCCCUCUUCAGUGCUAAUUGAUCUUUCUCCUUCGGCACUGGAACUUCAGAGGAUUUGUACAAUCCGUGUGUUUAAAAUCGAUUUCCUGAUUUUUUACAUUUAUACCCAGCUGUUUGUUAUUCAGGGCAGCCAUCAGCAUCCGAGUCUCAAUGGACCAUGUAAUGUGCAGCUGUAGCCAGAUGUAACGCUUCUGCUCCCUAAUGUUUCCAUGAGAAGCUUAGAGAGGCAGGCUAAAGACUGCUGAUAACCAUGUUGCCGGCAUUAAUUUACCCUCUGGAGCUGCACAGAGUCUGCUGGGCAAUUUUAUUUCACGACCAGCAAGGAGAGCGGUGUUUGAGAUCUCCAGCACUGGCAGCAAUGUUGACACUGUGUGUAUUGAGUGUAUCUGCAUUGAUACGAAAGGUACUUGUAUCGCUAAUUCAGACAGCAGGAAGCUGUCUGAUCUGCAUGCAUAAAUACUCUGGCAGCAAGGUUGUACUCAAGAAAGAUCAGCCAGGCUUCAUAUCAGACCUUGGCCUAAGAUUAAAAGAGGUUCAUACGCUCGUCUUGGAGAGAACAUUUCUUAGGAAAAAUAAUUUUAGGAUCAUUUCAGUCUGUAGUCAGACCUUGUUUCUCAUUUGCAUUUAUUAUUCAAAUCUGUGUUGCCUUUUGUAUUUGUGUGAUGUAUCUUUGUUUAGAGGCUGCAGCUCCUACUAAAUUUAAUUACUUCCCUUGGAGGCUUUAAAUUGAGGGCAGCGUCUAUUAAUUGUUAAUUACAUUCCCCUGCCAUUUACACAGCAAAGGUGCAGUUACUAAUUGAGGGUCUGUUCUGCACAAUGACAGGAGACUUCUUCAGUCUCAAUAUUUACCUUUCUAUGGGGACCAAUUUUUAUUUCCCUAAUCUUAUCUUUUAUUAAACAUAAAAGUAGACAUUCCAGUGAUAGAUAGGCCAUUCCUAUGAUGCAGUGUUGUUCUACCUCCCGGAGAAAUAAAUGAGAAUCAUCUCUGGCUCUGUGUCGCCAUCUGGUGGUGUCUUGAUCUCUCUUAGGCUCCUUAGAUGGGUUUCUGAUGAGAAGGAGGUAGGUAUCCCCGGGUCUGUCCCUUUGGUAGUUUUACCCCGAGAGGGGGGGGGAUUUAAAGUUAGCUGAUUCCCCACCGGGGCUGAGGGAGGCAUCCGUUCGGCCGGGGGAUGGUGGUGUCAUUAACGUGUGCAUUGCGUGUCUUUUAGAUGCUUGGCAUCUCGCAUUACUCAGUCUUGGAUUCUCCGCUUGUCUUUCUCAGCCUUCCUUUUCUAGGAAGCUUAGCUCCUCAACCCCCCUGUUGAGGCGAUGAGGGGGAAAUGCUGGGUCUGGGCACUUGCUCUGGUUUUCUAUUGGGAUGUCCUUGGUUGAACGUGUGUUUCUACCUCAGUAGCCUGAGCUUCGAAUCGGUCGUGGGAGUUGGAGGAUGGAGGGUUUAUGCUCGGUGAUGACGCUGCCUGUGAACCCUUGCGUUGGCCACAGCUCCACGGCCGCACUUUAUGAAGGGCUUGGUCAUUGAUUGAGAACAAAGUGAGGGGUGUCUCUUUACCUGUUAGACUCGCUGUUUCACUAGAUGAGGUUGCCUCCCAGCCUCGCCUGGGCUAUUUCAUUUCUUUAUGACAUUUCCACUUCCGCUUGGAAGUGGACCUGCCCUGAUGCUGGGCUGUCGCAUCGUGAGGUGCGUCUGUCCCUGAGCCCUGCAACUUUUACUUUAAAAAGCCAUGAAGGUAGAGAGCGAGAAGGAAUCCCGGUUGAAUGAAUGAGCAGGGGCCAAGGUGGAAGCCAUUAAAUCCUUUGUUAUCCAGAAGCUGAGGUUUACAGCAAAGCCAAAGCAAUGUUAGUUUGUGGGCUUGGGUGGAUUCUGUAAAAAUGCUGGGCAGUGCCCAGACCUCCAGGUCAGUGGCCAUGCACCAUCUCUGAAACUAAGAGGAGCCCAAGGCAGACAUAGGCAAUGCUGUGUGUCCCUCGGCCGCUGGAGGUGGCUGCCUCUGGGAGGACCAAGCCACCCCAGCAGGGUGAGCCCAGGUCAGGUUGGGGGAUGGGCGGGGAGCCACCCUUCAGCCUCCUUGGAGAAAUACUCUUCCCCCCCCUGCCCCCCGCAUCCCGGCUUCUCUUUGUGGAGUCCUUCUGCAUAGCCUCUGGCCUAUAUAUUCUU
This 6689-nucleotide long non-coding RNA is filed under the name Sus scrofa (pig). RNAcentral describes it as "lncRNA (ENSSSCG00015060108.1)". The record is from RNAcentral. Lineage: Eukaryota; Metazoa; Chordata; Mammalia; Artiodactyla; Suidae.